This 492-nucleotide ribosomal RNA is filed under the name uncultured bacterium. RNAcentral describes it as "partial 16S ribosomal RNA". It matches the Rfam family "Bacterial small subunit ribosomal RNA", at positions 29 to 507 of the family's 1533-position model. The record is from RNAcentral.
AGUGAACGCUGGCGGUAGGCCUAACACAUGCAAGUCGAACGGCAGCACAGUAAGAGCUUGCUCUUACGGGUGGCGAGUGGCGGACGGGUGAGGAAUACAUCGGAAUCUACUUUUUCGUGGGGGAUAACGUAGGGAAACUUACGCUAAUAACGCAUACGACCUACGGGUGAAAGCAGGGGAUCUUCGGACCUUGCGCGAUUGAAUGAGCCGAUGUCGGAUUAGCUAGUUGGCGGGGUAAAGGCCCACCAAGGCGACGAUCCGUAGCUGGUCUGAGAGGAUGAUCCGCCACACUGGAACUGAGACACGGUCCAGACUCCUACGGGAGGCAGCAGUGGGGAAUAUUGGACAAAGGGCGCAAGCCUGAUCCAGCCAUACCGCGUGGGUGAAGAAGGCCUUCGGGUUGUAAAGCCCUUUUGUUGGGAAAGAAAAGCAGCAGGUUAAUACCCCGCUGUUCUGACGGUACCCAAAGAAUAAGCACCGGCUAACUUCGUG